Long non-coding RNA from Eutrema salsugineum, 1856 nucleotides. RefSeq lists it as uncharacterized. The transcript is spliced from 2 exons. The record is from RefSeq and is a predicted model, not a curated record. NCBI's taxonomy places the organism in Eukaryota, Viridiplantae, Streptophyta, Magnoliopsida, Brassicales, Brassicaceae.
CAACUCAUAGUUUUCUCCGACCAAAAAUCACCGAUUGCAAAUCCUUUUCUCCGUCUUUUUGCCGCUGAUGAUCUCUUCUCCGUUGUCUGUUGUCUAUUCUGUCCGCCGAUCUCUUGUCAUCGGUUAUUCUUUCUCUGUUGUCUUCCUUCGUUUUCUCCGAUCAGGUAUUCUCUCUUCUCAUCGUUUGCUCUGUAAUUGUUUUUUCUUAUUGAUUUGCUUAUCCUAAACAAAAUUUACCUGCAUGUGUUGUGUCUCCUAUGCUCUUUCGUUUGUCUCUUUAUUCGAUUUGUGUAUUCUGGUUUAGAAUUUUAGGGUUUGUGAUGGUUUGUGGGUAAUCCAAUUGAUAUAUAUGAUGGUUUGUGGGUAAUUGCUUGUUUGCUCCUUUGGUUGCUCUCUAUCAAGGUACCAUAUAAUUGUUUGCUCUUUUGUUUGUUAUGUAUCAAGCUACGGUUGAUAUAUUUGAAGGAUAUCGUUCAUUGUUUGCUUGAAUUUGAGUAAUUUUCUUGCUAGGAAAGUUCUUCAAUUGUUUGCUUGCUAAAGACUCAUUGCUAAUGUAGUGUGUUUGUUUAAAAUCGUGUUUGCUAAUGAUGUGUGUUUAAUAGAGAGUCUUUUGUUGGUGAAUGUCAUAUGAUUGUUUGCUAACGAUCUGUGUUUUUGUUUGCAACUUGUGAGCUUUGAUUGGUUUGUAAAGGAGACCGAAGCCACAGCUGUGAGGAGUAUCAAUAGCGAGAAGCAUUCCAUUUUUGAUUUGCAAGUUGUGAGGUCAAAUCUCUCUCUUCAACAGUCAAUGCAUCGAAGCUUCAAGCUACCAUGAAGACAGUCCUGCAGAGCGCAAAGAAAGAAGGAUGUGGACGCCUACAGAUGAUGUCCUUCUCAUAUCCGCAUGGCUAAACACGUCAAAACCCGGUAGUUGGCAACAAGCAUAAGUCUGGUGAAUUCUAGAAACGGAUAACAGCAAACUUUGCUGCUAGUCUGAAGGCUGCAGGAAGAGAAAGAAGAGAAGCAAUCACAUGUCAGGCAAGGUGGCAAAAAAAUUAAUGACUAGGUGUGCAAGUUCUGUGGAGCUUACGAGGCUGCAACAAGAGAGAGAGCUUCUGGACAUAAUGACAAUGAUGUCUUCAAACUCGCACAUGAGAUCUUCUUCAACGACCACAAGAAAAACUUUACUUUGGACCAUGUGUGGAAGGAGAUAAGGAAUGACCAGAAGUGGUGUGAGGUAUCUGCAAAUGAGGUAUCUGCAAAUAAAACUGAAGGAGUGGCUAAAAGGAGAAGGUGCGACGAUGGUCCACAUUCAUCAAGUUUUGUCGCAGUAGAAAAAUGAUGUGAUCAUGGAACCGGAAGCAUAAGUAGAAGUUCCAGAAUCAGCCUUAGUCGUGCCAGGGGGUCCCGUUACGUGGUCAAAGUCCCGGAAGCUUGCUGGAGCUGUUCGGAGUUUGCUUAAUAAAGGUAGGAUUAGAACGGACUAGCUUACACCCAAUGCCUUAAACAUACUCACGUACCAGAGUUCUUGCUGAGGUUGGCCACGGUGUAAGUCAUGGUACUCUUUUUCUUUACACUCAGUUUUGUCCCAAUGGAUUUUUCGGGUGAGGUUUUAACGAGGUCAUGGCUUACAUCCUAUUCACGGCCUAUGUUCAGUAAGGCUCGUUAAGAAGUUUAAGGGUCAUUUUUGGCUGGGAGUCCAAGGAUCAGUCAAAGACCAGUCGAAGGGACAUUCAACUAUUUUAGUUCUUAGUCAAAGACUUCAUUUAUUUCGGUCUUAGUUAUUUAUUAUUCUUUAUAAUUUUUGAGUAUGGCUUUUCACCUGAUCCUACUCCUUACGAUGUGGGGGUCUCAAAUCUCAUUCAUUCACUUUUCAA